ACUCAGGUGUUGUUGGGUAGGGGAGCGUUCUGUAAGCCUGCGAAGGUGGCCUGUGAGGGUUGCUGGAGGUAUCAGAAGUGCGAAUGCUGACAUAAGUAACGAUAAAGCGGGUGAAAAGCCCGCUCGCCGGAAGACCAAGGGUUCCUGUCCAACGUUAAUCGGGGCAGGGUGAGUCGACCCCUAAGGCGAGGCCGAAAGGCGUAGUCGAUGGGAAACGGGUUAAUAUUCCCGUACUUGGUGUUACUGCGAAGGGGGGACGGAGAAGGCUAUGUUGGCCGGGCGACGGUUGUCCCGGUUUAAGCGUGUAGGUGUGUGUUCCAGGUAAAUCCGGUUCACUUUAACACUGAGGCGUGAUGACGAGGCACUACGGUGCUGAAGCAACAAAUGCCCUGCUUCCAGGAAAAGCCUCUAAGCAUCAGGUAACAUCAAAUCGUACCCCAAACCGACACAGGUGGUCAGGUAGAGAAUACCAAGGCGCUUGAGAGAACUCGGGUGAAGGAACUAGGCAAAAUGGUGCCGUAACUUCGGGAGAAGGCACGCUGACACGUAGGUGAAGUGAUUUACUCA
This 567-nucleotide ribosomal RNA is filed under the name Salmonella enterica subsp. enterica serovar Agona. RNAcentral's name for it is "partial 23S ribosomal RNA". It matches the Rfam family "Bacterial large subunit ribosomal RNA", at positions 1211 to 1772 of the family's 2925-position model. The record is from RNAcentral. Lineage: Bacteria; Pseudomonadati; Pseudomonadota; Gammaproteobacteria; Enterobacterales; Enterobacteriaceae.